CGCUGGCGGCGCGCCUAACACAUGCAAGUCGAACGGAGAAUGCAGGACUGAAGCCUUCGGGCAGAUGACCUGUAUUCUUAGUGGCGGACGGGUGAGUAACACGUGAGCAACCUGCCUUCAAGAGGGGGGAUAGCACCUGGAAACGGGUGGUAAUACCGCAUAAGACCACAGUGUCGCAUGGCACAGAGGUCAAAGGAGCAAUCCGCUUGAAGAUGGGCUCGCGUCCGAUUAGAUAGUUGGUGAGGUAACGGCUCACCAAGUCGACGAUCGGUAGCCGGACUGAGAAGGUUUGAACGGCCACAUUGGGACUGAGACACGGCCCAGACUCCUACGGGAGGCAGCAGGUGGGGGAUAUUGCACAAUGGGCGAAAGCCUGAUGCAGCGACGCCGCGUGAGGGAAGACGGCCUUCGGGUUGUAAACCUCUGUCAUUCGGGACGAAUUGAUGACGGUACCGAAGAAGGAAGCUCCGGCUAACUACGUG
This 482-nucleotide ribosomal RNA is filed under the name uncultured bacterium. Its description in RNAcentral is "bacterial SSU rRNA". It matches the Rfam family "Bacterial small subunit ribosomal RNA", at positions 34 to 507 of the family's 1533-position model. The record is from RNAcentral.